UCUAAUUAAACAAACAUUAUUCUUUCUCCAAAAAUUAAUAUUCCCUCUCCCUUGUCGUCGUCAGAUCCCCAAAUUUCUUCUCGAUUUUUUGCUCGUAAUCCGACUUCGAUUGCCAUGAGGAAUUUCGUCGGCCUUCCGAUCAUUGCCAUUAUACUGUUGGCGAUUUUUCAAUUCGCCGCCGGGCAGGGCGGCGCUCCUUCACCUGCGCCGGCGCCUUCCAGCGAUGGCACUGCGAUUGAUCAGGGAAUUGCUUACAUCCUCAUGCUUGUUGCGCUCGCGAUUACUUAUUUAAUCCACUGAGUUGAAUUAUUUUUUUCUAUUCUUUUUUUAGUAGUAGUAUUUUUUUAUAGAGAUUGAUUUUUGUGGUUUAGUGAUAUUUAAUAUUUAUUCAAUUCUUCCUGCGUUUUAGCCAAUUAUUACAGCUAUUAAAUACCUGGAGUUCCAUAUCUGUAGCUUACUUGUUGAGAAUUUGAAUGCAAAUGGUAUUCUCUUUUAGAAUUUA
Salvia splendens (bonfire salvia) is the source of this 502-nucleotide long non-coding RNA. RefSeq lists it as uncharacterized. The record is from RefSeq and is a predicted model, not a curated record. The transcript is spliced from 2 exons. Lineage: Eukaryota; Viridiplantae; Streptophyta; Magnoliopsida; Lamiales; Lamiaceae.